GAUAAACGCUAGCGGCAGGCAUAACACAUGCAAGUCGAGGGGCAGCAUAGAUUGUAGCAAUACAAUUGGUGGCGACCGGCGCACGGGUGCGUAACGCGUAUGCAACCUACCCGUCACAGGGGGAUAAUCCGGAGAAAUCUGGUCUAGUACCCCAUAACAUAUGGAUCGGCAUCGGUUCAUGUUGAAAUUUUCGGAGGUGACGGAUGGGCAUGCGUAGCAUUAGCUUGUUGGUGAGGUAACGGCUCACCAAGGCGACGAUGCUUAGGGGGACUGAGAGGUUUUCCCCCCACACUGGUACUGAGACACGGACCAGACUCCUACGGGAGGCAGCAGUGAGGAGUAUUGGUCAAUGGGCGCAAGCCUGAACCAGCCAUGCCGCGUGCAGGAUGACGGCUCUAUGAGUUGUAAACUGCUUUUGUACGAGGGUAAAGUGGGUUACGUGUAACCUUUUGAAAGUAUCGUACGAGUAAGGAUCGGCUAACUCCGUGCCAGCCGCCGCAGUAA
RNAcentral lists this ribosomal RNA (504 nucleotides) under uncultured bacterium. Its description in RNAcentral is "partial 16S ribosomal RNA". It matches the Rfam family "Bacterial small subunit ribosomal RNA", at positions 28 to 523 of the family's 1533-position model. The record is from RNAcentral.